GCUUGGGUGGUGUUUAUAAACAUCAGAAUCUUGUUGAUUUUAUUUGAAAUUUCAGAUCUUGCUGGGCACUGUGAUGUCUGUAAUCCCAGCACUUAGGAAGUAGAAGUACAACAGAUCAAGAGUUCAAGGCCAGCUAUAGCCAAAUACUGAGCUUAAGGCCAGCCUGAGCUACAUGAGAAUCCUCUCUUAAAAUGCAAAAACAAAUAAAAAAGAAAUUCCAGUUCUUUAGUAGAAGGAACAAUAGGCUUUGAAAUUUGAUAGAGUAUCUCACAAGCCCAUACUCCUGAGCUCCACUGAGCCCCUGCUGUGGUCCUUGUGUGGCUCUUGAUGGUUUCCCUGAGUUGUGAGUGACUUAAAUUGCAGAACUACUUAAGGGAGCUGGGGUUAGGGAGAGUUCUUUCUUUAUUCCCUCAUUCUACUAUAGAAAAGACAUUCUUGGCUUUCUUUUAUUAAUUUUACUGAUGUAUUGGAAGACAGACCACAUUUCAUCAAAUUUACCAUGCUUACAGCAUCUCUCUCUCUCUCUCUCUCUGUCUCUGUCUCUGUCUCUCUGUCUCUCUGUCUCUGUCUCCCUGUCUCUCUGUCUCUCUGUCUCUCUGUCUCUCUCUCUCUCUCUCUCUCUCUCUCUCUCUCUCUCUCUCUCUUUGGUUUUUCAAGAUAGAGUUUCUGGCUGUUCUGGAACUUGAUUAAUAGACCAGGCUAGUCUUGAACUCACAGAGAUCUGCCUAGUUAAAGGCAUUUGCCACCAACACCUGGCCCUGGUAGGACUUUUACAGACACUGAAAAUUUUAAGAAAUUGAGGCUUUCUAGCUAUGGUGGGGCACACUUACAAUCCCAGCACUUGGGACACAGAGGCAGGCAGAUCUCUGAGUUCCAGGACAGCCGUGGCUAUACAGAGAAACCCUGUCUCAAAAAAACAAACAACAAAAACCUGAAAAAGUCCUACUAGGAAUGGCAGUUGUCUUGGGAAAUCUGUUUAUUGACUAUCAGUUUCUGUCUUAUCCUUGUGUGUUCAGCUCUUUGAGACAGGACAAAGCACUACAAAUUUCCCACUGUCUUCUUGUGUUUUCAUACCAGUUGCUUUCAGACUCUAUGAUUUGGAUAAAGAUGACAAGAUCUCCCGUGAUGAGCUGUUACAGGUAUGUGGGAAAGUUUCAGAACAGUGUGUAUUUUGGGUCCUGACUUUAUUUUUAUGGGCAGCAGUUGUUCUUUCUUUUCGGUAAACAUUCCUUUAAUCCCUGCCUUGUAAAGAGUCCUUUUGCAGAUAAAAGGCAGAGGAGAAGACCAGGAAAUACUUGCUGUGGGCCACUUGAGUCUUCACGGAUAGGCGGUCUCAACCACUUAAAAGCUGGCGGUCUCUGAGGUGCUGAGUGACAUAGGGAAAUAAACAGUGUGGCUGGCUUAUACAGCUUAGUUGUUGACGGAUCAACUUGUUAGCAGCAAUUUAAUUCUAAAGACUCUGAAGGAAAUUCUGCUGUUUAGUCUCUUCUUGGACUAGGUGUCAGUCAAGGGAUCGCUGUGGCUGCAUCCACCCAAUAGUUGGUAGCUGCAGGCUGCAGGGGAUGCUUCGCUGUAUCCCAGCUAUGACUGAUGAUUGCCUGGUUUGUAUUGCUCAGCAUCUCUUAUUCUUUUUAUAAGUUUAGGGCAUAGGAACCUGUCCCUUUCAUUGGGUCUAGAAGACCCCAGAUAGCUAGGACACUGAGGAAUUUCUAUUGGGCAAGUUUCAAGAUAUAUCUAAAAGGAAAAGUACUUUCUGCUCUUUAGUAAAUCAGAACUCAUUUUAUAUCUUCAAAAACCUUACAAGUUGAAGCCUGCCCAGAUCAGAUUAAGGAACAACUCAGUCUCUGUGCAUUUCAAUGAGAAAAUUCAAACCAGGAGGCCAGUGGUAGUGUGCCCUGGCCACUGCUUUAAAAACAAAACAAAAACACAUAUAAUAUUUACUACAUAUUCUCUUGAGAAUUUCAUACAUGGAUGUGAUAUGUUUGAUCAUAUAUGCCUUCCCCCUCCACUUUUCUUAUCCUCUUCAAAACAUCCCCUUCCCAGCAUAUGUCCUUUUUGAGAAAAACAACGCACUCCGUCCAGUCAAUGCUGCCUAUGUACACAUGUACAUUGGACCCUCUGUUGGAACAUGGGCAGCCUACUAGCACACGCCAACAAUAAAUGACUAUCUCUCCUCCAGCAGCCCAAAUGCCAGCAGCAGCCUCUCAGCUAUGGGUGGCUCUUGUGAGCCCCUUCCCUCCCAUACUUGAUGUUGACUUUGCCUUUUGGUUUUGAAGUAGGAAUAGCUUUUUUUCAGUGAGAACUAUACUGUUUUACUGAAAGUUACACCCAUGGCCUUUGAGGACUGAAAAGACAGAAGCAGCCAUUCCAAGUUACAUAUUUUCAUCCCGUGGUCCAGAUCUGGCUACCAGAAAGAUGAUUUUGAAAUGGAGAGUGGGUUUAUUUUCUUUUAUUAGGAUUUGUAAGCAAUUUUGUGACAUGGGAUGAGAACGUUACUGUGGGGCCAGGAAUGGCUUUGUCACAGAUGUACUCCUGGAUUGGUGAGGUAUCCAGGCAACUAGUUUUAGCCUAGCAAGGAGAGAGCAGUUUUCCAAAGUAGGAGAAGAGAACAGAGUUUGUCCUUUUAGGCACUGCAAUUUCUAAAGAAUUAGGUGAAUAGUGUAAUCUGUUCUGUGUCACUUAUACUUAAGCAGAGAUGCGUGCUGUAUUCACAGAUCCAUUUCAUGAGAUAGCAUAUCUCGGAUUUUAUAAAGGUAGUAUAAGAAAAUAUUGUCCAAACCCUUUAUUUUCACCUAG
RNAcentral lists this long non-coding RNA (2796 nucleotides) under Mus musculus (house mouse). RNAcentral's name for it is "long non-coding RNA chr2:119579617-119582413". Lineage: Eukaryota; Metazoa; Chordata; Mammalia; Rodentia; Muridae. The record is from RNAcentral.